Micropterus salmoides (largemouth bass) is the source of this 546-nucleotide long non-coding RNA. RefSeq lists it as uncharacterized. The transcript is spliced from 3 exons. NCBI's taxonomy places the organism in Eukaryota, Metazoa, Chordata, Actinopteri, Centrarchiformes, Centrarchidae. The record is from RefSeq and is a predicted model, not a curated record.
AUCAUCUGGGUCGAUCUUUCCAGAAAGAACGUCCUCAAUCCACUGCUCGAGCACAUCAGCUGUGGGCAUGUCAUCAUCGUCAUCCAUUUCCAUCCACACGCUGUCGGCCUGUCAAGGAUAGGCACACAAAUAUUUACAGUUUUUGCAAAGGAUGAGAACGUUUACUUACAUCCUCAACAUCAACCACACCAAUAUGUGGAGAAGAGAGGUCAAUGAGGAAGGUCUUCUCCCAGUAUGGCACCAGCUGAAAGAGAGACAGAGUGAAAAUGAUUCCUGCUGUUUUCCCACCUGCCCUGUUGCUGCCCUCAGUGUUUUCCCACUAUUCACAGUUGGAUUUAGCUACAUUGCAUACAGUACAUACCAGCUCUCUUUCCCUAGUCAUUUGCCAGAUCAGCUAGUAUACUACCCAGUCCUAGCGGUUUAGCCUUCAUUCCUGUUUCUUGCAUGCUUUGUUUGCCAUCUCUGACUGAUUAUCUUUUUGGGUUUGACACAUCCUUUAGAAGAAAAAAAUUGCAACAUUGUAAAUGAAAGAUGUACAAUAGCUGA